AUUCUCCUUGAUAACAGCGACGAUGUUGUUUUAUGGUCUGCGAAAUUAUCGCCAGCACCAGGGAGGAUAACGUUGCGUAAGCAACGGCCCGUAGGGCGAGGCGCAGCCGAGUAAUCCUCCCGGAUGCACCA
RNAcentral lists this small RNA (131 nucleotides) under Klebsiella pneumoniae. Its description in RNAcentral is "RtT RNA". The record is from RNAcentral. RNAcentral also lists the same sequence under 4 other names. Lineage: Bacteria; Pseudomonadati; Pseudomonadota; Gammaproteobacteria; Enterobacterales; Enterobacteriaceae.